AUUUUUUUUUUAUGUAAAUUUACAUGGUAGAAAAUAUGUAUGCAAUGCAACAAGGGAUUUUUGAAGUUUUGAACUCUUAUUCUCUUCAACACAAUCUCGUUCUGCAACAAAACCUAAAAAAAGAAACACUCUCAAACUCACUAACACUCUUCCAAUCAAUCAAUGUCCAAAUUGUUUCUAUGCGCGCCAAAUCUUGUUUUAGGGUUCAUAACAACAAACCCUAAUUUCGACCCUCUUUCUCAAAAACACUCUUCGUUCCCAAUUUCACUCAGAUUCAAAUGCUGCACCGCAACACCAACAACAACAAUAACAAUAACAGCAUCAGAAUCAAAAUCAAAAUCAAAAUCAGACAGGUACCCAUUCCCUGUAUCAUAUCUCAUCAACAAUUUCGAUUUCUCACCUGAAUCAGCUCUCAAAUAUUUCAACAACGGCCAUCUUGGUUUCAAUACCGUUGAAAAACCUAAUUCAGUUAUCAACUUCUUUCUUAACAAUGGAUUUU
This 499-nucleotide long non-coding RNA is filed under the name Trifolium pratense (red clover). RNAcentral's name for it is "long non-coding RNA (TPRA_LNC011475)". Lineage: Eukaryota; Viridiplantae; Streptophyta; Magnoliopsida; Fabales; Fabaceae. The record is from RNAcentral.